AAGUUCCACGGUCUAGAAUUUGAGACUCUCUCUGCGCCAACUCACAUUUACGUCCCACUAACUCCUGGAAAUCCACCUCAGCUGUCAUCUCCUCCAGAAGCCUCCUGGUCCCCCAGCUCGCCUCUGAACACUGUCGUCUGAAGACCCACUGGCGCGUUUCUGGUUCUGUCCUGUACUGCGGUGAUCUGUGUGCCUGCACCAGGGCCUCUUUGUUUGUUGAAGAGUUCCUGUGCUGAUUUCCAUACUGAUCGUACUAGUUUACCUUCACACCAACAAGGUUGUCUCGUCACUCUGCUGAUUGUCUUCUUUACUGAGCAGAAGUUUCUUAAUUUGAUCUGAACUUGCAUGAUGCAAAAAAAAAAGACUAUCAGAGCCAGCGCUGGUGUAGCAAAUUGAGUGAGUUACUUUGAAGUUCAUACUAAGGGGCACUUUGUGUAACUCUAAGAGUCAAAGGAAGUUAUAGGAAAAGGGAAAAGAGAAAGAAAAUGGGAAUUGAAAAGAAGAGGUGCUGUGUAGCAUGACAGUAAGGAGACGAGUGGCUCAGGAUGCAUAUAGUGAAGACAACCUGAAUAAGACCCUGACAGGCCACCUGUGUGAUGAAACGACCUCCACCACCCACGAUCUCUGGGCGCUCAUGGAAGAUGAAUGUAAGUAACUGGAGAGUGCUCCUGAACACCGGGAAUGAAAACAUCCAUUGUCAGGGUUCAAAGCAGCCCUGCUCUCAGCUAGUCUUUGGAGAAGUGGACAAGAGAAGAGAAUAUUUUACUAUGAGCUGGACAGAAUGAUAAGUCACAGACAUCUCUGGGCCAGUGGUUCUCAGUGAACACCUUCAAGAUGGCAGGGACCUGAGAUGAGCCCUGGAUCCCGGAGCAAAGGGACCCUGAGCUGCUCCGGAGUGCUGGGAUUACUGGUGUGCGCCCCCACACCCGCCUUCUGUGACCUUGCUUCUAUUACUCCAAUAUGGAUGUGGCCCCUCAAUAAAAAUAAA
Chinchilla lanigera (long-tailed chinchilla) is the source of this 988-nucleotide long non-coding RNA. RefSeq lists it as uncharacterized. Lineage: Eukaryota; Metazoa; Chordata; Mammalia; Rodentia; Chinchillidae. The transcript is spliced from 5 exons. The record is from RefSeq and is a predicted model, not a curated record.